RNAcentral lists this unclassified non-coding RNA (642 nucleotides) under Hevea brasiliensis (rubber tree). The record is from RNAcentral. Lineage: Eukaryota; Viridiplantae; Streptophyta; Magnoliopsida; Malpighiales; Euphorbiaceae.
UUCUUCUAAAAGUUCACCAAUACAAGCUAUCACACCAAGGCCUUGGCUCAAGGCAUAAGCAGCCUUCUUUCCUAUAAACUCAUUGUUUUCACCAAUUAUAUGCCUGCGCUCGGAAUGCCCAAGAAUAACCCACUUGCAGCCAAUAUCUUUCAGUUGUUCCACGCUGAUUUCUCCUGUGAAUGCUCCACCUUUUCCAACCCAGGAAUUUUGAGCAGAUAUCUCAAUUCUAUCUGAUAAGGAAGCCUUUACCUGAUCGAUGUAAAGAAAGGGAGGUGCUACAACAACAUCAACAUCAGUCUCCAAUUUUGUAUCAUUUAAGUCAGAAACAAGCUUAGUGAUAGAUUCCUUUGUCCCAUUACACUUCCAAUUCCCCCCAACAAAGAACGUUCCAGUGCCCGCCAUGGCGACGACGUGUCUGGAAGGUUUGCGAGGAGAAGAACAGCGGAGUUGAGAAUUGAAAUGAGGGAGAAAGGAAGAGUGAGAGUUGGUGGCGUCGAGCUUAGUGCAUAAUCGGCGGAGACCGGAGAAAUGAGGAGCUGAAUAUGAAAUAGCUGAUUUGGGGCCGGAGAGAGAUGUUGAGAGCAUCGCCAUGGUUUAGUCGGCUAUGGCUUUUCACUUUCUCUACGGUGGUCUGUGGAAGAG